Molecule: RNA transcript, 1669 nt
Organism: Lolium perenne
Lineage: Eukaryota; Viridiplantae; Streptophyta; Magnoliopsida; Poales; Poaceae
Source: RefSeq, a predicted model, not a curated record
CGACCAUCACCCCCUGCUGCCGCGCUUUCCUUGCGCUGGUGCUCACACCUGUUCUCUGGUUCACCAUCUUCCUAGAUUUCGGCCUUCAAAGAGCCCGGGGAGGGACUGGAGAGAGAAGGAGGCGCCAAGCUCGACAUGCUCGCGUCAUCUAACGUCGAGCUAGAGGCCGACGGAGGGCUCCAUGGUGCCGGCCUCCUCUUCCCGCGGGACAAGCGCCGGUGAAUCGUAGCAAGCGCAGAUGGGAUGCCAGCGAGGAUGUCAUACUUUGGGCCUAGCACUUCCGCGCCUCUCCAACGCUCACACAUCUCCACAAGCUGGCAUGCUUCAUUUGUAUGCAACCAAUCAGACUCAUCGUCACGGUCCACCUGAGAUGCAUACUCCUGAACAUGUCUCGCCAUACCUGUAAGUAGUUGCACCUCCAAAUUCAGCAUUUCUAACAUGGCGCAUAUAUGUUGGAAGCAUAGAACACAUGACCUUGUUUAGUAGCCUGGGUGACUCCAGAUAUUCUGGUGACCUGUGUAGAGCAUGGUAUGUUUUCAUCAUUCACAUCGGCCGUUGCCUGUUUUUUAAGAUCCCAUAGUUCACGUCGGCGUUUUAAAAUCUCAUAUUUUUUAUUUGCAUACCGCUCCCUAUCCCUCUGCCUUUUUACCUCUUUAGAAUCUGCAUACACAUGAUAAGUUAGUAUGUCAGAUAAUUACGAAUGUCAAAUAAUAACGAUCAGCUACCUUGACUUUGCCCGUUGGUUAUAUCUUGGAAUGGAGCCCGGGAGGAAGAUGCCAUACCAAAUUUAGGUUCCUCUACCCUGUAAAAUUAAGAGGGAUUAAAACUUCCAGCCAGCAAAUUGUAAUAGCAUCAAUGAAUAAUUGUGAAAUAUUGUAUUUUUAGCUUUAAUUUAUAUUUGCAUAUAGGUAACUGAUUGACAUCAUAGUCACCAUUACAUCUCCACAUGACACUUUCUGCUUAUUGAUACAAGCAAUGACUCCCGAGUAUGGUUAACUUUAGUGCGAACAUACUCUUUGGUUUUGAUCGCCAGGAGUAAGAUGACAUCAAUUGGCCAUCCCGCAAGGAUAUAGUUAGGGUUCCAGGAUUGUGUGGAAAUAUCAUGUUACCAGUAUAUUUUCAGCAGGGCCGAUUGUCUGAAGAAACCUGAAGAAAGUUGUGCAGUUUGGCCUAGUCCCCGGCGUGCUGGCGGCCUGGAUUCUGUGUCGUGGAUGGCGUCCUUGAUUCCCUUGCGUGGAGGGCGGAGGGCUUGCCCGAAAGCGAUUGGGCAGCAGUGUGACGACGGCGAGAGGACUCUAUCGUGGACGGUGAUAGUGCAGCAGGGCGACGGCGGCGAUUUGGAAGAGGAGAUGUGGACGCUACUGGGCCACCAUGGCGAGAGGGAGGCGUGCUGGACGUCGAGAACUGCUGCUGGGCGACAAUGGCGAGAGGGCGGCAGGCGGCGAGAGGAAGGCGAUUUGGAAGAGGAGAUGUGGACGCUACUGGGCGACGACGGCAAGAUGUGAUGGUGCUGGAUGUCGAGAACUGCUGCUGGGCGACAAUGGCGAGAGGGCGGCAGGCGGCGAGAGGAAGGCGAUUUGGAAGAGGAGAUGUGGACGCUGCUGGGCGACGACGGCAAGAUGUCAUGGUGCUGGACGUCGAGAAUUUCUGAUGGGCGACAAUGGGGAGA